GACGAACGCUGGCGGCGUGCUUAACACAUGCAAGUCGAACGGAGUGGCGAACGGGUGAGUAACACGUGGGUGAUCUGCCCUGCACUUCGGGAUAAGCUUGGGAAACUGGGUCUAAUACCGGAUAGUGCAAGAUGAGCUCGCGGCCUAUCAGCUUGUUGGUGGGGUAAUGGCCUACCCAGGCGUCGACGGGUAGCCGGCCUGAGAGGGUCUACGGGCACAUUGGGACUGGGAUACGGCCCAGACCCCUACGGGGGGCAGCAGUGGGGAUUAUUGCACAAUGGGCGGAGGCCUGAUGCAGUGACGCCGGGUGGGGGAUAAAGGCCUUCGGGUUAUAAACUCCUUUCGACAGAGACGCGGUACCUGUAUAAGAAGCACCGGCUAACUACGUGCCAGCAGCCGCGGUAAUUC
This 408-nucleotide ribosomal RNA is filed under the name uncultured bacterium. RNAcentral's name for it is "partial 16S ribosomal RNA". It matches the Rfam family "Bacterial small subunit ribosomal RNA", at positions 28 to 526 of the family's 1533-position model. The record is from RNAcentral.